GUUUUCCUAACCGUUUGUAGUUCAACAUGCACUACACCUAGUGUACUCCUAGUUAAUCGCCUAUCUGCUUCCCUAAGUGUUGUGUUCAAAAGGUCUAUCGGGUCGGUUUCAGAUUCCUGAUCAAUAAUAAUAGAACUACUGUUACUGUCGUCUAAAUUAAUUAAAUCAAUUUCAUUAGAUUCUAACGUAACCUCAGAUAAAUCUAAUUCUUUCUUAAUAUUACUCACAACAGAGCGUUCAUUUUGAGUCGUCUGGUCGUGUCAAAGAGCGUCGAAGAGCAAGAAGGCUGGAAUUUCUUCAAUUGGUCUUCCGUGUGAUGUUGCAAUCAGUCCCGCCUUUGACAAUCGUACCGUAUCUGCGCCAGUGUAAAGUUCCAGCAGUCUGUGGCCUUUGGAUACUUUAACACACAAGUGGUUGAAGAAGGAAGAUGGAUGUUUCGUAAAUAAAGUUAAUACUUUUAAUUAAAAUAGGUAUGUAAUAAUACGCGGCCAAGAACACUUCUGAGGGUGCUGUGGUGAAACGGCUGGUAUUUACGCAAAAUGUCCAUCCGGUUCGGUGGAAGGAGUUCUUCGAAUCCCCGCCUCGGUGACCUUUUCUCAGUUGUGCAAGCGUUAAUCCGGGUUGUUGGUGAAUGGCCAAGUUGUCUUCUGCUAAGUGCCUAACAUUGUCGGAUAGAUACAAUUUAUGUGUUUGUUUGUGCGUUUUUACAAUCUUUCAGUUGUACAAAAUAUAUAAUUUGCAUAAAUAAA
Molecule: long non-coding RNA, 749 nt
Organism: Adelges cooleyi (spruce gall adelgid)
Lineage: Eukaryota; Metazoa; Arthropoda; Insecta; Hemiptera; Adelgidae
Exons: 3
Source: RefSeq, a predicted model, not a curated record